UCCUCCCCCUCCAGACUCUCUCCCCAAAGCCUAUGCUUGAAAUAAACGGGGAAUGAAUGCGGGGCAGGCAGUGGCGGGAGUUAUUUUGCACGGGGCUCCGCGCAUUGACUUCAUGACUUUCCUCGAAAUGAUUGGGGUCUGCCAGUGUUUUUUCAGGGCGGAAGGGGGUGACGAGGAAAAGUACCGGGUUCUCAGAACUAAAGACUCCCGAGUCGAAAAGUCAAGAGGGGAGCGGGAAGGAGGAGCGGGAGCAAGGCUGGGAAAGGCUCUGCUAAGGAGUCCCGUGAACGUGGGGUGGGGAUGGCUGGGGCUGUCUGCAGAUCCAGCUUAAGAGGUUUUUGCUGUCAGAGGUAGACUCUCGGUCCAAGGAGAGGAAAUGCUUGCAUUUUCUCACUUUGGGGGUCUGGACGCCCCCACCUCCUAGCCCUGGAGACCCCCCCAACCCCGGAGUCCUGCACGAAGUGCGAGAGGAAGGGAGGGAACAAUGAGCUCAGAGCCGGGAAUGUGCCCCCAGCGCCUGUUUACAAACACCAAGCUAUUUACGAUCGCCGGAAAGCGAAACCCGACGCGGGCUCGGAGCAGCCCCGACCUCGCGGGCGGAGCCGGGCCCCGGCGCCGCGGGGAGGGCGGCUCUUUCUCCGAUCCCCUCCGGGCGGAGCAGCGGUGCGCCCAGGGCGCGGCGCAGCAGGGCCGGCGCGUUCGGCUGGGACCACGGCCGCUCCGCCUUUGUCUUCGAGGCGCCGAAGGGCUCUGGCUGAUGCCGUGCUCGGGCCUGAAGGGACCCGGCGCCCUCAGCUUUUCCCCGGCGACGCCUCGCGCUCUCCUCAGCCCCUUCUCCUCCCCAUCUCGCCCCCCACUCCGCUUUCCUGUCUCCAACCCGGCUCGGGGAAAACUCCCAGCGCCGAAGACAUCCACAUCAAAAGCUGAGGUUUCAGACAAAAAGCUGCGCCUGCCCGCAACUCGGAGGCUCCAACCAGCCACUGAUUUUUUACUUUCUCCCUUUAAAUACCUAUUCUCCGGCUUUAAAAAUUCCUUUUCUUUAUUCUCCCUUUCUAAGCUUGCCCUUUAUUACAUUUGGUGAUGUUAUUUUCGUUUUUAUUUUUUCAGCCGGCCCGACUCUGAUCUGCCGAAAUGGCUCAAGCCUCAGCAGCUCAACCCGCGGGCUAGAAACCUCACAUUUCCAAGCUGGGCUCGCAGCUCGCUCGGCUCGGGGCAAGAUCUUCUCCCCCUCCCUCCAGCUGAAACCUCGCAGAAAACUCCCCCUGCGGUCGACUGGAAAAUGAACUCACCCAAAUCUCGGGUCUUGUACUUUUCUCCACCGCCAACAUAUACACAGUUUCCUGGCACAAACGCCCCGCCACAGGCACAUCACGCGGGAGGUGAAGGCAGGCCCGCGUGUCAAAGCCAAGGGGAUCCAGAGAUGAAAAAAAGAAAGUUCAGAUACAACACUGGCUGGCUGGCUGUUUAAAAGAAACAACAUAGCCGAACACACUCCAAAUCAAACAGCCUUGGCGGAUUGUUCAGCAUUUGAAGGCUUGAUCUUUUGUGCCGUCUACUGGACAAUGGAAAAACUACAGUCUCUAUGAUUUAAACUUUUCUCUUGUCCAGUGUUGGGGGUGGGGAGUGGGUAGGAAGGGGGAUGUGACUUGCUACUGGUAAAUAAUAAGAGAGGAAACGAGACCUAAUUUAGACUCAGAGUACAGAUCUUGUGACUUCAAAUCUUCAAAUCCAAGUUUAGGACAUUAUAUUAACUGUAGGUAUGCCUCAACCACUUGAUUAAGGCACAAGGCUAAAACCUACAUUUUACACAACUCUGUGUGUGUGUGUGUGUGUGUGUGUGUGUGUGUGUGUGUGUGUGUGUGUGUUGGCUUGGAAAGAGAAAGAAAGAUGGUGGGACAAGCUUAGCAUCUCUGAAAAAAAAAUGCUGGUGGUUACUUGGCUCUGAGUGAGAAUUGUCUUGACAGCCAAGUUACAUGUAUUUAUUGCCUAGGUAAUCCAGGAUGUACAGGUUAAUUCUUGGAAUUUGGAACAUGAUAUUGUUCAAUAAUCCAGAAGAGUACUUUCAUGAGGGGAGAAAUGAAAUUGGUAAUUAGAACAAUGUUAGUGCAGUUACUUUUUGGCAAUCUUGGAUAAAAACGUGAAACUUCACUGUUUUCACUUGGAGACCACAUGUGGGAAAAAGUGAGGGUGAAAUUCACAGUCAGAUGCUUUUAUGUAGCAGAGGCUGUUUGAUGUUCUCUUAAACAUGUAAAAACAUUGUAUACAUUUUGGUUACGAUUUCAAAAAUAUUUAUAGAGCUCUAGUAUUAUGGAAGCUUCAUACAAAAAAAUGCAUGGAGCUAACUUUGACCUCUGACAUUGACAUAGUUUCUGAAUAACCAUAAUUACCACAUAGACAUGAUUUUGUGUAGGAAAAAUAUAAACAAAGUCCAAUGCCAAUGAAAUAUAGAGAAGUCAAGCUGAUUUUGGUGGAAGAGCCAUAGACUUGGGUACAAGGCUCUUAAAACAGUCCAUCUGCUUUUCUGAAGUUAAAAUUCCCUAUUGGAUUUUAAUAUAACCUAGUAGUACAUGACUAGUUGUUAGGGUGCCUUUUAAUAAUAACCCAAUAGUGAAAAGGAGUCAGCUUUAGGGCAUUUUCUUGCUGCAUAAAUAUAUUUCAAUGAUCUACUUCAAAUGAUGUGGCACUGUGUCAGAAUGACGUUAACAUAUUGUAUUAAAUAUAGAUAUAGCAGAGAAUUAGGGUUGAUGCCGACUCCUUAAAGCAGGGAGAUUGCUUAUGUUGCAAAGUAAAAUAAAUAAAUAAAUAAAACAGGAUGCUUCCAGUUGUGCUGCAGUGUGGCGGAGGGGGUGGUGGGAGUGGUGGACCAUGUCUCCUUAACUUCAGCAUAAUCAACUGGACUGUGAAAGGUUAUUUUACGAGAUGCUGUUUGGAUCCCUUGGUCCAGAAUAAAGCUGCAACAACAGGGCUCUCCUAGGGAUAGCUAGAAAAUGUAGAAAAUUCUUACGGGAACCAAUUACCAGUACUCACACGCCUGAUACAUGCUUAGCGGACAGUGGAAGUACUGAGGGCUGGUGAAGGGUCUCUGGUCACCAAGUGCAAACAUUUAUCUUUGAAGCAACAGGGUGGGCCAGACUGGUCAUGAUAAACAUUCAUGUUCCACUAGAUAAAGGGGCAUAUUUUGUGAAAACCUUCAGGCAAAAAAAAAAAA
Long non-coding RNA from Myotis myotis, 3208 nucleotides. RefSeq lists it as uncharacterized. The record is from RefSeq and is a predicted model, not a curated record. Lineage: Eukaryota; Metazoa; Chordata; Mammalia; Chiroptera; Vespertilionidae. The transcript has 4 exons.